UGUUCAUGACGAACACUGUGACCGAAUCAGACCAAGUCGAAUCGAUCGACUCGAUUGAUCCCUGGACUCCACGCGCGAGUUGACGCCCUAUAUAAGUUCAUAAAUCCCUCCUCGACCGAUUUUUGGCAAAAACUUGGAUUCCCGUGCCCGUUUCGCCCGGAUCCGAUCUUGCCGGAGUUCGCCGCUGCAGGAGCAUCUCGCCGGUUGUUUCCGUCGACGCACAAGGGAAGCACCCACCCGAGUGCUUCGACCUCCGCCCCGACGAACACCGCCGUCACCGCUCCAGCCGGUCACUGUCGCCACCGGAGGAAGCUCCAAUUGUGUGGGAAGUUAACCACUUCAUCUCCGUCGCUCUCUCCACUCGUAGGUCAUAUCUGCGUAGCCGGAGGCCCUCUGUAGCCGUCGCCCGUAUCACCACCGAGCCGCCGGCGCCGUCCUUCUCCAACUCCGACGACGCCCAGCUCUGUUCUCAGAUUGUCCGGAGUGUGAAGCGGAUCGGAAUUAAUUGUUAGAGUACUUCAGCACCGUUCAAGGCAAGUUUGCACUAUUGAUUUUGCUCAUCCUAUAUUCUGCUAUGCAUGUGUGAUUUUUAUGCUAUGACAUGUGCUUGGUUUGAUCUGUUUGUUCUGUGUUGUCAUAUUCUAGUGUGAUCAACUUGCUAUGAUAGACAUGGGCAUAUGUCGAGUGAUCCAUGAAAGUGGUGAGUGUUUAUAGCCGUAGGCUCGGGAUUAUUAACCAGGUGAAUGCGUCACUGGCAGAGCGCUCUAUUGUCCCUAGAGAAUGCGCCAUUGACAGAGCGCACUUGAGGCGAGGUUUAGUUUUCGGAACUUAAAUCAGGUGAAUGCGUCCUUGGCAGAGCGCUCUAUUGUUCCUAGAGAAUGCGCCACUGACAGAGCGCACUUGAGACAUACUUCUGAAGUUCUUGUCAUGUUUAUUUAGAAUCUUUGGGUUAUCUUGGGCGAGUAAAUUAGAGACGGUUGUGAGUUCAGGUAGUGGAGGUAGGUGAAGACAUUCUUCUCCAAACUAGUGUGUUUUGUUUAUCAUACAUUGCUUUGUGGAUGUAGGUUUGCUAUAUCGUAUUGUGUGAUUUGCCAAUACAUUCAAUGUAUUGACCCUUUGUGGCUGCAACUUAUCAUGUUGCAGGAUUUUCAGAUGAUCAGUGAGAUACAGUAGGGUCACGAGUCUUCACUCAACAUGUUCUCCAGUGGGCAUUGAUGGACUCGUCGUUGAUUAUGCUACCUUUUCGCUGUUAUUAUUGAAUAAGUUAGCCAUGUGCUAUUCAGUUUGUAAUACUUUAUAACUUCUGGAUCAUACGUUAUGUUAAAUGAUGCACUUGUUAUUUGAUAUUCAUAUGUACUGUAUGUGCUAGCGAGUUGAUCGAGGGACUAGCACUGUGAGCACAGAGACAUCGAAUCUUAUCAGGUUCGGGUCGUUACACGGGUAGAAGGCGUCGCCGACAACAACGGAGAGUACACACCUCAAUGCAUGAAGACAAAGAGAAAGAAGUGCAAGCGGGGCGACUUGAUGAUGGCGAGGCUCUGGGCGCGCUCGAGCUCUUGCAUGAGGUUGUCGACAUGUCCUCCAAAUAGACGAAGAUGAGCGGGUUGAGGACGUGGUGCGGGAGCUGAUACAUGAGCAUCAAAGUCGGGCUCGCCAGGGACGACAAGGCGAGGGGGCGAGCUUGAGCUUGACAAACACAGGGAAGAGGACGACGUGAGGACGAUGCCGGUCUCGCAACCGAGAACGGUCGGAUUAAAAUGGAUGGCAGAUUGGCCUGCUACAGUACACAUACAUUAACAGUAGUACUGCAGAGAAGCCGAACCUGAGCCAUGGAUCCCGCUUUAGCUGAGUAUGAGGGAUGAAACUUCUUUGGUUUGAAACAUUCAAGUUGCAAGUUGUCCUGAUUUUAAGUUAAGGG
Long non-coding RNA from Triticum aestivum (bread wheat), 1918 nucleotides. RefSeq lists it as uncharacterized. The transcript has 3 exons. Lineage: Eukaryota; Viridiplantae; Streptophyta; Magnoliopsida; Poales; Poaceae. The record is from RefSeq and is a predicted model, not a curated record.